Daphnia magna is the source of this 1974-nucleotide long non-coding RNA. RefSeq lists it as uncharacterized. The record is from RefSeq and is a predicted model, not a curated record. The transcript has 2 exons. Lineage: Eukaryota; Metazoa; Arthropoda; Branchiopoda; Diplostraca; Daphniidae.
AAGUUUUCGCUCUUAGUGGGUUAUGCUAUGAUUUGAAGUGUAUGCAAUUGUAAUUAUGGGUUUUUGUGAUUUAAACUAUUAGGUAGAUACGCAUUAAAAUUUUCAGACUUUCUGGAUGUAGUCACUUCUUAUCGCUAACACGACGAUUGUUAUGAUGUGUAGUAUUUGUCACGAAUGUGUAAUAAUGCUUAGGGGGGUAUUGUGUUUGAGAACGUAUGUCAGUUCAGAUAGAAAUGUAAUGUAAGUUAAGCAAUUACAUUACAAAAAUUUUCUUUAUAAUUCCCUUAUUCAAUAAUUUUGAUGUUUUCUGGCAGGGUGACUGGAUAUCUUGGUUAACCAGAAUAAUAUGGUAAUGGCUUGUUCUUCUUUCCUUGUGGUUUCAUGAAAUGGAUGUCAAGGAGUAAAGGGUUAGAUUUGAUAAGUUGACUUUGUGGAUUAAUACAACUUUUUCCAGGUCAUAUCCUGAAUUGUACUACUGGUUUUAUUUGUUAAAUGAUCUGCAAUUAAUGGUUUAGACAUAGGUUAAUGGGAAGUUUGAAAACAUUCCACUGAAAGCUUUUUUGUGAAGCUGUCUGAUUUAUCCAGCGGUGUUUGUCAUGAUUGUUUCUUGCUUCCAAGAAUGUAAGUAACAUAUGAUGAUCAUGAGGUUUUCUUGUGAUAAUGGGUAAGAAUAUAUUUAUAAUUAUUGCCCUCAUUGUUCUUAUUUAACUUGUUGAGCAAGUCAACCAGGGUUGUAAAAGCUUUAUUACUUAAAACUUCCUUUUUUUUUUCCAGUGAUGUGGCAUACUUCAGGUACAAAUUAUCUGUGAACCUUGCUUUUCUUUACAUGAUGAAUGUUCCCCGAGUCCCUGAUUUUUAAAAUUUGUAUUGUUUGUGUUCAGUUGAUGAGAGUUAACAGAUCUUGAAUUUUUACUUGUUAGGAUGGCAGAAGCAUCCUAAAGUGAAGUUUCACUGUUCAUUUUGUAGUAAAUGGUGCAGUUACCACUGUUAAAGGGAUUGUAUCAAUAACAGGAUGAUUGUUGGGCUUCUGUUAAUAUCUGUUUUCAAAAUUUAGCUUUUGUGCUACAGGUAAUUUUGUAUAAAAAGUUUUUGUUUGACAAAAUGUCAUUUUUAUUAUGAUAUCCUACAGGUUGAAUCUUCCUAGAUACAGUAUAAUAGCACCUAACAUGUUAAUGUUUUAUGCUAAUUGUAAAAUCCCGUUUUUUCUAUUCAUAUUUAAGCUGCGGUUGUUUUUCCAAUUCUAUCUACCUCCAUUUCCAAUAGUUGCUAAAUUAAUUUAAAUAAUGAAGUUGCCUUUUUCUCAGGUUGGAACGCCAUACGUCCCAAGGUGAAAAUUUUUUUAAUAGUAUAUUUUCUGUGUGUUUUUAACUGAAACAUGACAUGAUUUGACGUUCUGCUUGAAUUAAUAUUUCUAUUCUAAUUUUUUAUUUGUAGCUACCAUUUGGGUCGUAGACUCCUACUUCGAUGGUUUGUUGUUUGCUAGUGGAUGUCCUAUUGUGAAAAUAUUGCUGCUGCAUUAACGACGCAUUUUCUGGUAGUAUUGUUGUAACGACCUAUGUUGAUGCGGUCUCUUAAACUUGUCAAAAAUACACACGAAACGACAAGUGAGAGCUGCUAAGAUUCAAUUUCAAUUUGUUGGAAAUUUUCGUUCUGUUCCGUUUUCAGUACAGUGUUCACGCUUUUCUUAGUACGAUUCUUUUAGGAAUGAAAUAACGGCAAAUAUAACUGUCAAGGUUAUCGUAACAAAACGGUGUGGUGAUAUGAUUACUGGCAGUUGGAAGAACGUCUGAAAAUUUCUCUAUACUUAGUUAUUCUAACAUGUUUCCGAAAUAAAAUUUCUAUCAGGGAUUUGUUUCAUGGGGUCAUGUUUCCCCAUGACUUGUGAUAAACUCGUGUGAAUUCUGAUGAUACUUUGUGUAUAACGUAUUUUUUAUUUCUAUGAUGAAUUAUUAAUAAAACGCAUUUCUAAUUAAA